AGAGUUUGAUCCUGGCUCAGAGCGAACGCUGGCGGCAGGCUUAACACAUGCAAGUCGAGCGGGCGUAGCAAUACGUCAGCGGCAGACGGGUGAGUAACGCGUGGGAACGUACCUUUUGGUUCGGAACAACCCAGGGAAACUUGGGCUAAUACCGGAUAAGCCCUUACGGGGAAAGAUUUAUCGCCGAAAGAUCGGCCCGCGUCUGAUUAGCUAGUUGGUGAGGUAACGGCUCACCAAGGCGACGAUCAGUAGCUGGUCUGAGAGGAUGAUCAGCCACAUUGGGACUGAGACACGGCCCAAACUCCUACGGGAGGCAGCAGUGGGGAAUAUUGGACAAUGGGCGCAAGCCUGAUCCAGCCAUGCCGCGUGAGUGAUGAAGGCCCUAGGGUUGUAAAGCUCUUUUGUGCGGGAAGAUAAUGACGGUACCGCAAGAAUAAGCCCCGGCUAACUUCGUGCCAGCAGCCGCGGUAAUACGAAGGGGGCUAGCGUUGCUCGGAAUCACUGGGCGUAAAGGGUGCGUAGGCGGGUCUUUAAGUCAGGGGUGAAAUCCUGGAGCUCAACUCCAGAACUGCCUUUGAUACUGAAGAUCUUGAGUUCGGGAGAGGUGAGUGGAACUGCGAGUGUAGAGGUGAAAUUCGUAGAUAUUCGCAAGAACACCAGUGGCGAAGGCGGCUCACUGGCCCGAUACUGACGCUGAGGCACGAAAGCGUGGGGAGCAAACAGGAUUAGAUACCCCCGUAGUCC
RNAcentral lists this ribosomal RNA (744 nucleotides) under uncultured bacterium. RNAcentral describes it as "bacterial SSU rRNA". It matches the Rfam family "Bacterial small subunit ribosomal RNA", at positions 8 to 796 of the family's 1533-position model. The record is from RNAcentral.